CCUACGGGUGGCAGCAGUCGAGAAUCAUUCACAAUGGGGGAAACCCUGAUGGUGCGACGCCGCGUGGGGGAAUGAAGGUCUUCGGAUUGUAAACCCCUGUCAUGUGGGAGCAAAUUAAAAAGAUAGUACCACAAGAGGAAGAGACGGCUAACUCUGUGCCAGCAGCCGCGGUAAUACAGAGGUCUCAAGCGUUGUUCGGAAUCACUGGGCGUAAGGCGUGCGUAGGCUGUUUCGUAAGUCGUGUGUGAAAGGCGCGGGCUCAACCCGCGGACGGCACAUGAUACUGCGAGACUAGAGUAAUGGAGGGGGAACCGGAAUUCUCGGUGUAGCAGUGAAAUGCGUAGAUAUCGAGAGGAACACUCGUGGCGAAGGCGGGUUCCUGGACAUUAACUGACGAUGAGGCACGAAGGCCAGGGGAGCGAAAGGGAUUAGAUACCCGAGUAGUC
RNAcentral lists this ribosomal RNA (446 nucleotides) under uncultured bacterium. RNAcentral's name for it is "partial 16S ribosomal RNA". It matches the Rfam family "Bacterial small subunit ribosomal RNA", at positions 338 to 795 of the family's 1533-position model. The record is from RNAcentral.